This 301-nucleotide ribosomal RNA is filed under the name uncultured bacterium. Its description in RNAcentral is "partial 16S ribosomal RNA". It matches the Rfam family "Bacterial small subunit ribosomal RNA", at positions 509 to 807 of the family's 1533-position model. The record is from RNAcentral.
CAGUCGCCGCGGUAAUACGGAGGGUGCAAGCGUUAAUCGGAAUUACUGGGCGUAAAGCGCACGCAGGCGGUUUGUUAAGUCAGAUGUGAAAUCCCCGAGCUUAACUUGGGAACUGCAUUUGAAACUGGCAAGCUAGAGUCUUGUAGAGGGGGGUAGAAUUCCAGGUGUAGCGGUGAAAUGCGUAGAGAUCUGGAGGUAUACCGGUGGCGAAGGCGGCCCCCUGGACAAAGACUGACGCUCAGGUGCGAAAGCGUGGGGAGCAAACAGGAUUAGAUACCCGGGUAGUCCCUGUCUCUUAUAC